RNAcentral lists this ribosomal RNA (492 nucleotides) under uncultured bacterium. RNAcentral describes it as "partial 16S ribosomal RNA". It matches the Rfam family "Bacterial small subunit ribosomal RNA", at positions 29 to 507 of the family's 1533-position model. The record is from RNAcentral.
AGUGAACGCUGGCGGUAGGCCUAACACAUGCAAGUCGAACGGCAGCACAGUAAGAGCUUGCUCUUACGGGUGGCGAGUGGCGGACGGGUGAGGAAUACAUCGGAAUCUACUUUUUCGUGGGGGAUAACGUAGGGAAACUUACGCUAAUACCGCAUACGACCUACGGGUGAAAGCAGGGGAUCUUCGGACCUUGCGCGAUUGAAUGAGCCGAUGUCGGAUUAGCUAGUUGGCGGGGUAAAGGCCCACCAAGGCGACGAUCCGUAGCUGGUCUGAGAGGAUGAUCAGCCACACUGGAACUUGGACACGGUCCAGACUCCUACGGGAGGCAGCAGUGGGGAGUAUUGGACAAUGGGCGCAAGCCUGAUCCAGCCAUACCGCGUGGGUGAAGAAGGCCUUCGGGUUGUAAAGCCCUUUUGUUGGGAAAGAAAAGCAGCAGGUUAAUACCCCGCUGUUCUGACGGUACCCAAAGAAUAAGCACCGGCUAACUUCGUG